AAAGAACUGACGAAGGAAUAUGUGGUAGAAGAUCGGGAAAGGUUAACGAAAGAUGUCCCAGUACUUGAUCCUAAUCACGUUACAGAGCUAAGAAUGUUGGGGCUCUAUUGAGAUUUAUGGCAAUCUAGCAAUUACUCACCCUCGCUGGAUUAUAUAUAGCUAUAGUUUAAGCGGGAGGAUAUGGUUGUGCUGCCAAAAAGAUAUUGAAGCCAGUAGAGAGUAGAGUGUACUGACCCAAACAGUGCUUUUGGGAGGGGUGCAGAUGCUUUUUAUAAAUUUUAAACCACCUGUUUUAGGUGAAACUUUCAGAAUUGGUUUAUUUUGAAAAGGGCUGCAUGCCAAAAAGAGUUUCGGUUAUU
Molecule: unclassified non-coding RNA, 359 nt
Filed under: Hevea brasiliensis (rubber tree)
Lineage: Eukaryota; Viridiplantae; Streptophyta; Magnoliopsida; Malpighiales; Euphorbiaceae
Source: RNAcentral